CCUACGGGAGGCAGCAGUGGGGAAUUUUGGACAAUGGGCGCAAGCCUGAUCCAGCCAUUCCGCGUGAGUGAAGAAGGCCUUCGGGUUGUAAAGCUCUUUCGCAAGGGAAGAAACGUUACAGUCUAAUAAACUGUGAUAAUGACGGUACCUUGAUAAGAAGCACCGGCUAACUACGUGCCAGCAGCCGCGGUAAUACGUAGGGUGCGAGCGUUAAUCGGAAUUACUGGGCGUAAAGCGUGCGCAGGCGGUUUUGUAGGUCAGAUGUGAAAUCCCCGAGCUCAACUUGGGAACUGCGUUUGAAACUACAAGGCUAGAGUAUGGUAGAGGGGGGUAGAAUUCCACGUGUAGCAGUGAAAUGCGUAGAGAUGUGGAGGAAUACCAAUGGCGAAGGCAGCCCCCUGGACUAAUACUGACGCUCAUGCACGAAAGCGUGGGGAGCAAACAGGAUUAGAUACCCUGGUAGUCCACGCCCUAAACGAUGUCUACUAGUUGUUGGGAGAGUAAAAUCUCUUAGUAACGCAGCUAACGCGUGAAGUAGACCGCCUGGGGAGUACGGUCGCAAGAUUAAAACUCAAAUGAAUUGACGG
RNAcentral lists this ribosomal RNA (587 nucleotides) under uncultured beta proteobacterium. RNAcentral describes it as "bacterial SSU rRNA". It matches the Rfam family "Bacterial small subunit ribosomal RNA", at positions 338 to 916 of the family's 1533-position model. The record is from RNAcentral. Lineage: Bacteria; Pseudomonadati; Pseudomonadota; Betaproteobacteria.